Molecule: long non-coding RNA, 385 nt
Filed under: Mustela putorius furo (domestic ferret)
Lineage: Eukaryota; Metazoa; Chordata; Mammalia; Carnivora; Mustelidae
Description: lncRNA (ENSMPUG00000024389.1)
Source: RNAcentral
UAGACUUUCAUAUUUUUAAACAGCAUUUUGUACCCUACACUGGAUUCCCAGGGCCAGGAAGAAAAGGAGUGAACAGUGGAAGGGCACCUAUAAGAGCUUUCCACCAGGAUAUCAUCCACCUCAGAGACUUGAAUCCCCUGGGACUCACCAAACAGCUUGCAAGCCAUGUUCACCCACGUGACACAUCACCUACCUCGUACUCCUCCUUCAAACCUCUGUGUUCACCGGUGCCUUCCUCUCCAGGCCUUCCACACAAAUCAUUGACUCGCUCUUGGAUUUCUACAUUUCUCCUUGGGAACAAAGGACAAAGCUGAUUUAAGUGCAGGGAGCCUGUCAGUGGAGCAGAAGCGGGAAAUGAGGAUGGAAACAAUUACAAAUUAAAAAC